AUGGAAGAGCACCGUGAGGAAAGAUGCUGGGAGGACCUAUUGCCAGAUGCCCUGGGACUCAUCUUCCGCAACCUCUCCCUUCAGGAGAUGCUCACCGUGGUUCCCCGGGUUUGCAAGUCCUGGAGCCGGGUGGUCUCAGGGCCCUACUGCUGGCAGGAGAUCGACAUCCAGGAGUGGAGCCAGCAGCAGAACAAGCCUGACCAGCUCACCCGCAUGGUUCAUACGCUUGUCACUCGCAGCGGUGACUCGUUCCGCCGCAUUAGCGUGUCCGGGCUUCCCAAUGACUCGUUGUUCACCUUCAUCGCCAACCACGCGCGAUCUCUCAAGACCCUGGAGCUUCCGAGGAGCGAGAUCAGCGACUGCAUCGUGGAAGACGUCGCGCAAAGGCUGUCCAACGUCACGUUCCUGGACGUCAGCAGCUGCACCAAGAUCGGCGCCCGCGCCCUGGAGGCGUUCGGCAAGAACUGCAAGUCCCUGGUGGGGCUCCGGCGGGUGAUGCACCCCAUAGACGUCGCCGGCAAGGUGUGCCAGCACGACGAGGCCCGCGCCAUCGCGUGCAGCAUGCCGAAGCUCCGGCACCUGGAGAUCGGGUACAUGCUGAUCGCGACCAACGCCGUGGUGGAGAUCGCGUCCCGGUGCCGCGACCUCAGCUUCCUGGACCUGCGCGGCUGCUGGGGCGUGGACGACAAGCUGCUGCAGGACAAGUACCCGGGGCUCAAGGUCCUGGGCCCCCGCGUGGACGACUGCUACGAGAACAGCUUCCUGGAGGAGUGCUCCGACGACUCGGACGACGACUCCAUCUACUCGUGGGAGGAGUACAUGGACGACGAGGACUACUUCGCCGCCGGGAGCGACGACGAGGAGGCCCUGUGGGACGACGGCCACGCCCUCGAGGGGCUCGAGGUCAGGUUCUACGGCGGCGGGUUCGGCGAGGGCGCCUUCGCCGGGAUCGACUGGCCGGAGUCUCCAUGA
RNAcentral lists this ribosomal RNA (972 nucleotides) under Triticum aestivum (bread wheat). Its description in RNAcentral is "partial small subunit ribosomal RNA". The record is from RNAcentral. Lineage: Eukaryota; Viridiplantae; Streptophyta; Magnoliopsida; Poales; Poaceae.